RNAcentral lists this long non-coding RNA (472 nucleotides) under Nicotiana benthamiana. Its description in RNAcentral is "long non-coding RNA (NBEN_LNC009793)". Lineage: Eukaryota; Viridiplantae; Streptophyta; Magnoliopsida; Solanales; Solanaceae. The record is from RNAcentral.
UCUCCCAUUCAGAUUUGGUUGAAUCUUCUUUCUCUCAAAAAUGGAAAAAGAUACAUACAAAUAGAGAUAUAGCGUGAAUAAUUAGCUUCCGGGAAUUGGUCGUCCCUUUCUUCUCCUUCAAUCUAGCAGAAGCCCAUGAAACCCGUACGAAAACCUUCAUUAAUACCACCUCUUGAAACUCCAAAAGCCCACCAUAGAUUUAGCCAUAAAACCUCUGCUAAACAGUCACAAAAUAGUCUUAAAUUCCACGAAAAAUUACCCAAAAAAUUGCUGAAAAGAACUGGUGUAAAACCUCCCAUAAAAUAACCCCGUUCUCACCAUCAAAACAGCCGCCAACCACCUGCGAAAACCACUCCAGAAUCCAUCGGAACAAUAAUCCAAGACCUAUUGAUUGCAGCUGAUAUCUUAACUCCAACGUCUCCAUCCAUAGCAUCAGUUGGGUUCAAGGUCGUAGUUCGGUUUUGUGAACAAC